Molecule: ribosomal RNA, 325 nt
Filed under: uncultured cyanobacterium
Lineage: Bacteria; Bacillati; Cyanobacteriota
Description: partial 16S ribosomal RNA
Rfam family: Bacterial small subunit ribosomal RNA
Source: RNAcentral
GGAAAANCUUACGGAACAAGCCCGGGUUAAGGAAGAAAGCUCUUGGGUUNUUAACCUUUUUUUUUAGGGAAAAAANNAAUGACGGUACCUGAGGAAUAAGCCUCGGCUAACUCCGUGCCAGCAGCCGCGGUAAUACGGAGGAGGCAAGCGUUAUCCGGAAUUAUUGGGCGUAAAGCGUCCGUAGGUGGUUAUUCAAGUCUUUUGUUAAAUAGUGGNGCUUAACUCNAUAAAGGCGGNAGAAACUGAGUAACUNGAGUGUGGUAGGGGUAGAGGGAAUUCCNGGUGUAGCGGUGAAAUGCGUAGAUAUCUGGAANAACAUNAGUGG